Molecule: RNA transcript, 1235 nt
Organism: Cervus elaphus (red deer)
Lineage: Eukaryota; Metazoa; Chordata; Mammalia; Artiodactyla; Cervidae
Gene name: histone acetyltransferase KAT6A-like
Exons: 4
Source: RefSeq, a predicted model, not a curated record
AGUCCUAACAGACACAAAGGUGUAUGCGCUUCAUAACAGAGCUUUGAACUACGUGCGGCAAGACUGGACAGACGGAAGAGAGAAGUGGACAGAGGCCCAGGGAGCCUGUGUGCGUGCGGGUCAGCACACAGACACAGGGCCCCAGGCCAGCAGCCCCGGGUGCGUUCUGCACAGACAGCCUACAGAUCAAGAGCAAAACCCUUCCCCUCCAGAGACGAAAGCUCCCGAUGCAAUCAGGUGAACGCAGAUGAAUGUGAUCAGGUCAGCAGGGGAAGUCCCCUGCUCCUCGCCGCUUGCCGGGGGCUUCUUGGUGGUGAGUUUGGCUGCAAGAGGCGUGUUGUUUUCAGCUGCUGAUGGGUGGCUAGGGAUAAAUCCAGAAGUGGAAUUGCUGAAUUGUAUGGUAAUUCCGUGUUUAACUUUUUGACAAGUCGCUCUUCUGUUUUCCAUGACGAUGGUACCCCUGUACGUUACCACCACCAAGGCGCAGGGUUCCAAGGCUCCACAUCCUCGCCAACACCGGUUCUGUGUUGUUGUUGUUAAUAACCAACCUCGUGGGUGUGAGGUGGCAUGUCACAAUGGGGUUGAUUUGCGCUUCCCUGGUGAUGAGUGAUGUUGAGCCUGUUUUUGGGUGCUCGUUGGCCAACGAUUUUGUUGCCAAUGCCAGAAAGUGACGAGGGAUUAAAAGCAACAAGCAAAGCGAGCCUGAACACUGGAGGCACUGUCCCUAGGCUAUAACUGUCGCUCGGGCCUUUGCAUCUUUGGCCCUGAGGCCCGGGGUUUCUGCCCGACCCCGUCUCCUGGCCACGGCUGAGCAGAAGACAUGAUGCCCCCUCCUCCCUCGCAGACCCUGGACUGAAAGGCGACGUGGCAGGGGUCAUGGGCUCCGUGCCCCCUGAGACCUUCCAGCAGGUGGCUCACGCUGACGGGCCACAGCCUCCACCAGCUGCACCCCGUCCGGGGCCUGGAGCGGACAGAGGACACAGCGAACCCCACAUUCUGCCCCAGGCUCCCAGAUCUCGGCUCCCCUCCGCCCCACCACAUGAGCCAGCGCUGUGGCCCAUCUCCCCACACAGCUACUACUGCCCCUGCUCUGGGCCCAUCCAGGUCUCCACUCUGACCGUCUCCUGGAGCAAACAAUGUUGACAGGGGCACCUCUGCUCAGGCGGAGGCCACACCUGACGUGACGUGUCCGGGCGCACGUGGUCACACCACCGUGAGGAGCGUGACAUGUGUAU